This is a microRNA precursor of Monodelphis domestica (gray short-tailed opossum), 58 nucleotides long. NCBI's taxonomy places the organism in Eukaryota, Metazoa, Chordata, Mammalia, Didelphimorphia, Didelphidae. The record is from Ensembl.
UGUGCCCUGGGAUAGAUAAGCGAUCUCUUCCAUUCCCUUUUCUAUCCAUGGCACUGGU